GGCGGCGCCUGCGGAGAGCGGAGACCCGGCUGGGAGAGCUGGAGCGGCGGCGGGCCCAGGACAUGAGAGACGUGGAAAGCUACGUGGGCCACGUCCGUGCCCUGACAGAAGAGAGGGAUGCCAUUGCCUCUGAGUAUGAGAAGGAGAACGAGCAGCUCAGGUUGGAGCUGGCCCAGCUACAGCUGCAGCAGGAAAGCCAGCUGAAGGAGGUGGAGGAGAUGCUGGAGCAGGAAGGUUUGUCCCAGAUCUCCUGCAGUGCUGCUAGUGAACAGGUGGCCUAUCUCCUGGUGGAGCGGGCGGCGCUGCUGGGACGGCUGGGAUCCCACAGCAGCAUGGACGGGCUCCAGCUCAGGAUAUUCUGAUGCUAUGGUUCCAAGGCCAUCACUUUCCACCUGCUCAUGACUUACGGCCAUGUCUCUGUGGAACCGGAGUCCAGGAAUGCUCUGGGAUUCCAGGAGCUGCUGUUUGUCCC
This 472-nucleotide long non-coding RNA is filed under the name Geospiza fortis (medium ground-finch). RNAcentral describes it as "lncRNA (ENSGFOG00000010967.1)". Lineage: Eukaryota; Metazoa; Chordata; Aves; Passeriformes; Thraupidae. The record is from RNAcentral.